Molecule: ribosomal RNA, 191 nt
Filed under: uncultured bacterium
Lineage: Bacteria
Description: partial 16S ribosomal RNA
Rfam family: Bacterial small subunit ribosomal RNA
Source: RNAcentral
UAAUACGAAGGGGACUAGCGUUGUUCGGAUUUACUGGGCGUAAAGCGCGCGUAGGCGGAUCGCUAAGUCAGGGGUGAAAUCCCAGGGCUCAACCCUGGAACUGCCUUUGAUACUGACGAUCUGGAGAUCGGGAGAGGUUGGUGGAAUUCCGAGUGUAGAGGUGAAAUUCGUAGAUAUUCGGAGGAACACCA